GACGAACGCUGGCGGCGUGCCUAAUACAUGCAAGUCGAACGCAGUUGCGAACGGGUGCGUAACGCGUAGGGAACUGCCUCAUAGCGGGGGACAACUAGUGGAAACGAUAGCUAAUACCGCAUACUGUGAGAUGGACCUGCGUUGGAUUAGCUAGUGGGUGAGGUAAAGGCUCACCACGGCGACGAUACAUAGCCGACCUGAGAGGGUGAUCGGCCACACUGGGACUGAGACACGGCCCAGACUCCUACGGGAGGCAGCAGUGGGGAAUAUUGGACAAUGGGGGAAAGCCUGAUCCAGCCAUCCCGCGUGUACGAAGAAGGCCUGCGGGUUGUAAAGCACUUUUGGCAGGGAAGCGGUACCUGAAGAAUAAGCAACGGCUAACUACGUGCCAGCAGCCGCGGUAAUUC
Molecule: ribosomal RNA, 407 nt
Filed under: uncultured bacterium
Lineage: Bacteria
Description: partial 16S ribosomal RNA
Rfam family: Bacterial small subunit ribosomal RNA
Source: RNAcentral